UACGUAGGGAGCAAGCGUUGUCCGGAAUCAUUGGGCGUAAAGCGCGUGUAGGCGGUCCGGUAAGUCCGCUGUGAAAGUCGGGGGCUCAACCCUCGGAUGCCGGUGGAUACUGUCGGGCUUGAGUACGGAAGAGGCGAGUGGAAUUCCUGGUGUAGCGGUGAAAUGCGCAGAUAUCAGGAGGAACACCAAUUGCGAAGGCAGCUCGCUGGGACGUUACUGACGCUGAGACGCGAAAGCGUGGGGAGCAAACAGG
RNAcentral lists this ribosomal RNA (253 nucleotides) under uncultured bacterium. Its description in RNAcentral is "partial 16S ribosomal RNA". It matches the Rfam family "Bacterial small subunit ribosomal RNA", at positions 524 to 776 of the family's 1533-position model. The record is from RNAcentral.